This is a long non-coding RNA of Gasterosteus aculeatus (three-spined stickleback), 478 nucleotides long. The record is from Ensembl. NCBI's taxonomy places the organism in Eukaryota, Metazoa, Chordata, Actinopteri, Perciformes, Gasterosteidae.
UGACGCUUCACUUUAUCAUAUGAAGCCUUAUGACGCUUCACUUUAUCAUAUCGCGCCCUAUGAUGCUUCACUUUAUCAUAUGAAGCCUCAUGACAGUUUGCUUUAUCAUAUAAAGCCUUAUGACGCUUCACUUUAUCAUAUGAAGCCUUAUGACGCUUCACUUUAUCAUAUGAAGCCUCACGACAGUUUGCUUUAUCAUAUGAAGCCUCAUGACGCUUCACUUUAUCAUAUGAAGCCUCAUGACGCUUCACUUUAUCAUAUGAAGCCUUAUGACGCUUCACUUUAUCAUAUCGCGCCCUAUGAUGCUUCACUUUAUCAUAUGGAGCCUCAAGACGCUUCACUUUAUCAUAUGAAGCCUCAUGACAGUUUGCUUUAUCAUAUGAAGCCUCAUGAUGCUUCACUUUAUCAUAUGAAGCUUUAUGACGCUUCACCUCCUGACACUUUCCAUGACAUCACUUCACCUCCUGACUCAAAGUGA